This 459-nucleotide ribosomal RNA is filed under the name uncultured bacterium. RNAcentral's name for it is "partial 16S ribosomal RNA". It matches the Rfam family "Bacterial small subunit ribosomal RNA", at positions 338 to 795 of the family's 1533-position model. The record is from RNAcentral.
CCUACGGGAGGCAGCAGUGAGGAAUAUUGGUCAAUGGCCGGAAGGCUGAACCAGCCAAGCCGCGUGAAGGACGAAGGUGCCAAGCAUUGUAAACUUCUUUUGUCAAGGGACAAAAUCAGGCUCGAGAGCCUGACCGUGGGUACUUGAAGAAAAAGCAUCGGCUAACUCCGUGCCAGCAGCCGCGGUAAUACGGAGGAUGCGAGCGUUAUCCGGAUUUAUUGGGUUUAAGGGGUGCGUAGGCGGACUGUUAAGUCAGCGGUAAAAGCGCGGGGCUCAACCCCGGAGUGCCGUUGAAACUGGGUGUCUUGAGAUGUCGAGAGGUAUGCGGAAUGCGCAGUGUAGCGGUGAAAUGCUUAGAUAUUGCGCAGAACUCCGAUUGCGAAGGCAGCAUACCGGCGGCGAUCUGACGCUGAGGCACGAAAGCGUGGGUAUCGAACAGGAUUAGAUACCCCGGUAGUC